Molecule: ribosomal RNA, 497 nt
Filed under: uncultured bacterium
Lineage: Bacteria
Description: partial 16S ribosomal RNA
Rfam family: Bacterial small subunit ribosomal RNA
Source: RNAcentral
GAUGAACGCUGGCGGCGUGCCUAAUACAUGCAAGUCGAGCGGACAGACCAGGCGCUUGCUCCUCUGACGUUAGCGGCGGGCGGGUGAGUAACACGUGUAACACCCACCUAUCUGACUGGGAUAACCUCGGGAAACCGGCGCUAAUACCGGAUAAUCUCUUGAACCGCAGUGUUCAUUGGUGAAAGACGGUUUUUCGGUCAGUAAUAGAGGGAUCCGGGCCGGUUUAGCUGGUUGGUAAGUUCACAGCGUUCCAAGGCGACGAUGCGUAACCGACCGGAGGGGGUGAUCGGCCGCACUGGAACUGAGCCGCGGUCCAGAGUACUGAGGGACGGAGCAGUAGGGAAUGUGCCGCAAUGGGCGAAAGCCUGACGGAACAACGGCGCGUGAGUGAUGGCAGUCCCCGGAGCGUAAAACUCUGUUAUUAGGUAAGAACAAAUGUGUAAGUAGCUAUGCACGUCUUGACGGUACCUAGUCAGAAAGCCACGGCUAACUACGUG